UACGGACAUAUCACGUUUAAAUACAGGUUCUCAUACGAUCACCGAAGGUAAGCAACGUCGAGCCUGGUCAGUAUCUUGAUGGGUGACCGCUUGUAAUAAUAGAUGUUGUAAG
Acanthosepion pharaonis is the source of this 112-nucleotide non-coding RNA. The record is from the annotation of a GenBank genome assembly. NCBI's taxonomy places the organism in Eukaryota, Metazoa, Mollusca, Cephalopoda, Sepiida, Sepiidae.